GAAAUGCGAUAAGUAAUGUGAAUUGCAGAAUUCAGUGAAUCAUCGAAUCUUUGAACGCACCGUGCGCUCCUUGGUAUUCCUUGGAGCAUGCCUGUUUGAGUAUCAUGAAAUCUUCAAAGUAAAUCUUUUGUUAACUCAAUUGGUUUCUACUUUGGUAUUGGAGGUCUUUGCAGCUUCACACCUGCUCCUCUUUGUUCAUUAGCUGGAUCUCAGUGUUAUGCUUGGUUCCACUCGGCGUGAUAAGUUAUCUAUCGCUGAGGACACUGUAAACGGUGGCCAAGGUAAAUGCAGAUGAACCGCUUCUAAUAGUCCAUUGACUUGGACAAUACUUUUAUGAUCUGAUCUCAAAUCAGGUAGGACUACCCGCUGAACUUAAGC
This 378-nucleotide unclassified non-coding RNA is filed under the name plant metagenome. Its description in RNAcentral is "partial contains 5.8S ribosomal RNA, internal transcribed spacer 2, and large subunit ribosomal RNA". The stretch from base 1 to 105 matches the Rfam family "5.8S ribosomal RNA", at positions 50 to 154 of the family's 154-position model. The record is from RNAcentral.